Molecule: ribosomal RNA, 465 nt
Filed under: uncultured bacterium
Lineage: Bacteria
Description: partial 16S ribosomal RNA
Rfam family: Bacterial small subunit ribosomal RNA
Source: RNAcentral
CCUACGGGGAGCAGCAGUGGGGAAUAUUGCGCAAUGGGCGAAAGCCUGACGCAGCGACGCCGCGUGAGGGAUGAAGGUCUUCUGAUCGUAAACCUCUGUCAGCAGGGAAGAACGGUCACUGUGCUAAUCAGCAGUGAAUUGACGGUACCUGCAAAGGAAGCACCGGCUAACUCCGUGCCAGCAGCCGCGGUAAUACGGAGGGUGCGAGCGUUAAUCGGAAUUACUGGGCGUAAAGCGCUCGUAGGCGGUAUGUCAAGUCAAGGGUGAAAUCCCCGCGCUCAACGUGGGAACUGCCUUUGAAACUGGCAAACUGGAGUGUGUGAGAGGAUAGUGGAAUUCCAGGUGUAGGAGUGAAAUCCGUAGAUAUCUGGAGGAACAUCAGUGGCGAAGGCGACUAUCUGGAACAUAACUGACGCUGAGGAGCGAAAGCGUGGGUAGCAAACAGGAUUAGAUACCCUGGUAGUC